Molecule: ribosomal RNA, 422 nt
Filed under: uncultured bacterium
Lineage: Bacteria
Description: bacterial SSU rRNA
Rfam family: Bacterial small subunit ribosomal RNA
Source: RNAcentral
GCUAAACGCGAAGAACCUUACCCAGGCUUGACAUCCUACUAAUCACUUCGAAAGAAGAGAGUGUCUUCGGACCGUAGUGACAGGUGAUGCAUGGCCGUCGUCAGCUCGUGUCGUGAGAUGUUUGGUUAAGUCCAUCAACGAGCGCAACCCCUGUAGUUAGUUGAAUUUUUCUAGCUAGACUGCCUCGGUAACGGGGAGGAAGGAGGGGAUGAUGUCAGGUCAGUAUCUCCCUUACGUCUGGGGCUACAAACACGCUACAACGGCCGGUACAAAGGGCUGCAAGCCCGCGAGGGUGAGCCAAUCGCAUAAAGUCCGUCUCAGUUCGGAUUGCAGGCUGCAACUCGCCUGCAUGAAGUUGGAAUCGCUAGUAAUCGCGGAUCAGCAUGCCGCGGUGAAUACGUUCUCGGGUCUUGUACACACCG